RNAcentral lists this ribosomal RNA (494 nucleotides) under uncultured bacterium. Its description in RNAcentral is "partial 16S ribosomal RNA". It matches the Rfam family "Bacterial small subunit ribosomal RNA", at positions 28 to 507 of the family's 1533-position model. The record is from RNAcentral.
GACGAACGCUGGCGGCGUGCUUAACACAUGCAAGUCGAACGGAAAGGCCUGCUUUCCCUUGUGGAUUGCGGGUACUUGAGUGGCGAACGGGUGAGUAACACGUGAGUGAUCUGCCCCCAACUUGGGUAUAAGCCUGGGAAACUGGGUCUAAUUCCCGAUAGGACUGCAGGGUGGUGCCUGUGGUGGAAAACGAUUUUCUAGUGGUUGGGGAUGAGCUCGCGGCCUAUCAGCUUGUUGGUGGGGUAAUGGCCUACCAAGGCGGCGACGGGUAGCCGGCCUGGGAGGGUGGACGGCCACAUUGGGACUGAGAUACGGCCCAGACUCCUACGGGAGGCAGCAGUGGGGAAUAUUGCACAAUGGGCGGAAGCCUGAUGCAGCGACGCCGCGUGGGGGAUGACGGCCUUCGGGUUGUAAACUCCUUUCGACCGCGAGGAAGCCACCUGGUUGGAAGGGUGGUGACGGUAGUGGUAGAAGAAGCACCGGCUAACUACGUG